Sarcophilus harrisii (Tasmanian devil) is the source of this 2223-nucleotide long non-coding RNA. The record is from Ensembl. NCBI's taxonomy places the organism in Eukaryota, Metazoa, Chordata, Mammalia, Dasyuromorphia, Dasyuridae.
CCCAGCUGCUGCCAUGAUGGUGAAGGCUGGAGUUUUAUGUCAGGCAUCUGUUCGCUCAGGUUUUCAAGAGAAGUGAGGUGAGAUAAGACUGGGGACGAGCAGCACCAUGGCCCCUUUGCAGAGGUUUCUGCCAGGCGGUGGGACCACUGCUGUGGAGGGCUGACAUUCAGACUGGACGUGCCUUGAAGCAAACCGGCUCUCUGAAGAAGAAAUGACUGCUGGGCUACCCGAUUGCUGUGAGAAAGGGAUAUUCCAUAUCUACAUUUCAUAUCUACAGACUGGCAGUGUACACCGCCAAUUUUAAGAAAUUAAUGAAAUAUAUAAAAAUUUUGAGAUUGUUGAGAAUUAUUUGUUAGGCAUUUAAAAUCUUGUUUGAAGACAGGUCAGAUAGGCUCCACCAGUAGUCAGAAGGUCAUUUGUCAGAAAAAGGAUAAGAACUUUGAGCCAAUCUUUCCCCCUCUUUUCUUGUGCAAGGUUCCACAAGUCUCCCAUGGUUCAGGUUGAUCCAUAAACUGGGUGGUGAUAGUGGGGGAGCAUAUUUCUUGGAAAUUCUAUGCAAUUACCGGACCUAGAGGCAGUCUCAGGUUCACAUUAGGGAAGGAUAAAAUAAGGUGAAACACCUACUUUGUCCUCUGCACUGUACUCAGUGGCCUUUAAGUAUACCAUGUCAUUUAAUCCUCACAACAACCCUGGAGCAAACAGAUGAAGUGAUUUUCUCUCAGAGACAUAUCUGAGACUGAAUUUGGACUUCAGAUCAUACUGACUUUCAGACUCAGUUCUCCAAAGACUGUACAAGCUUUUACUUCACUGUAACAAAGUACAAGAUUUUGGGAUAAAAAAUAUAUCCAUUUUGUAUGUAGCCAAGUCUUAGGGAGUUUGUGUUAUCUCCUAGAGUCUGGAAGACAGGAUUUAUCUCUUAAAAUAUGGAUGGUAUCUUAGCUGCUUCCCCUUAGAAGACAGAAGGAGUGUUUCUGUGUCCUAUCACUGGCACAUAAAAUAUCUCUCCUCAUUGAUCUCUAGAGAUCAUUUCCUCCCAGAAAAAUAGAUGCCUCCUCGCAGAUAUAAACUUCCUCAUUCCUUCUUCUACACAUACUUCUGCAUCCCUCUCCCUCACAAAAGGAAUUACCAUGGAGACUCUUGCCUACAAAAAUUUCUGAAGGAAACAAGGCAAUGCCUUAGCUGUCAAUUUUAGCUUUGUUGCAUCUUGCUUUCUAGAGUCCCCAAGUUGGGGUAACAAAAUUUACCGUGCUUUCUGGAGCCCCCAAGCCAGUCUGAUUAAAAUAUUGUGUCCUGUUUCUUAGAGCCCCCUAAGUUGGGGUGACAAAACUUAUCAUGCUUUCUAGAGCCCCACUCUCUGGUAGUUAAAAUAUGCUAUCUUAGUGGAGACAUGAUGAAGUGGGACUCUUGAGGAUGGAAUCCGUUUACUUUCAGUUCUUUCACCCUUAUAUAACCUCAUACCCUUAUGUAACCAAAACAACGCUGCACAUGCACUAAGUGUAUACUGCACAUGUGGGACCACAUAAACAACUUGGCUAUUGUAAGUAGUUUGUCACCUGAUAUCAAUCUGCUUCAAUCACAACACAGGUUAUCAUUACCCCUGACUUCUAAGGAAAGCUGAGUGCCCUUAGAGGAGAUGGGGAACCGAACCUAACAUUUAGCAGCUUCUAUCUGGGCUUAAGGUUCUUAUACCUCACCCAGAAUUCUCCCAGUGUCUGUGACCAUCUACAUGUCUAUCUUUUUUGUUUGUUUGUUUUUGUUUUAAUUGAAGUAGGCAUAUAUAUCAGUGAUUAAAUCUAUCAGCAUGGAAGGAAUCACACAGGCAAGUUGUAAUAUCAUAUAUAAGCAAUUAGUAAUACAACAAAAAAAAUGAAUAAACAAAAAACUAUAAAGAUUUCCAUGAGUCCCAGAAGGAUGGUGCAGAAAAUAACUAUCAAUUCAAAAAUCACACAUACACCUCCUUUAGCAGCCAAGAGAUAUCCAAAGCCAAUCUAUUGUCAGUCACUUUAUGUGUUAGGGAAUCCAAUGCUUUCUCUAGGUCUUGAAAUCCUCCAUCAUUCUUUUCAUAUUUUAGGGAAUCCAAUGAUCCUGCAGGUUGUGAAGUCCUGCAUCAGUCUCAUUGACAAUUAUUUUUGAUAUUCAUGAGUUAAUUGACAUGACAUAGAGUUAACUGCCAGACUCUUUUCAGUGGUGGGCACAGUCAGAGAUGGAACCACCCGAUGUUUC